GCUUAACUCAGAUGCUAUGAACCCCGAGGCGCGAUGUCGUGUGGGUCGCCUAUGCUUCGAGGGGAGCAAAUCGCGAAACCGGCUGAGCGAGAC
This is a non-coding RNA of Nitrospirae bacterium 13_1_40CM_62_7, 93 nucleotides long. The record is from Rfam. NCBI's taxonomy places the organism in Bacteria, Pseudomonadati, Nitrospirota.